RNAcentral lists this ribosomal RNA (443 nucleotides) under uncultured bacterium. RNAcentral describes it as "bacterial SSU rRNA". It matches the Rfam family "Bacterial small subunit ribosomal RNA", at positions 338 to 795 of the family's 1533-position model. The record is from RNAcentral.
CCUACGGGUGGCAGCAGUCGAGAAUUUUUCACAAUGGGGGAAACCCUGAUGGAGCGACGCCGCGUGGAGGAUGAAGGUCUUCGGAUUGUAAACUCCUGUCAUGCGAGAACAAGAAAGUGAUAGUAUCGCAAGAGGAAGAGACGGCUAACUCUGUGCCAGCAGCCGCGGUAAUACAGAGGUCUCAAGCGUUGUUCGGAUUCAUUGGGCGUAAAGGGUGCGUAGGCGGCGUGGAAAGUUGAGUGUGAAAUCCUAGGGCUUAACCUUAGAACUGCACUCAAUACUCCCAUGCUAGAGGAAUGUAGAGGAGAGUGGAAUUCACGGUGUAGCAGUGAAAUGCGUAGAUAUCGUGAGGAAGACCAGUUGCGAAGGCGACUCUCUGGGCAUUUCCUGACGCUGAGGCACGAAGGCCAGGGGAGCAAACGGGAUUAGAUACCCCAGUAGUC